UGAACGCUGGCGGCGUGCCUAAUACAUGCAAGUCGAGCGAACAGACGAGGAGCUUGCUCCUCUGACGUUAGCGGCGGACGGGUGAGUAACACGUGGAUAACCUACCUAUAAGACUGGGAUAACUUCGGGAAACCGGAGCUAAUACCGGAUAAUAUAUUUAACCGCAUGGUUCAAUAGUGAAAGACGGUUUUGCUGUCACUUAUAGAUGGAUCCGCGCCGCAUUAGCUAGUUGGUAAGGUAACGGCUUACCAAGGCAACGAUGCGUAGCCGACCUGAGAGGGUGAUCGGCCACACUGGAACUGAGACACGGUCCAGACUCCUACGGGAGGCAGCAGUAGGGAAUCUUCCGCAAUGGGCGAAAGCCUGACGGAGCAACGCCGCGUGAGUGAUGAAGGUCUUCGGAUCGUAAAACUCUGUUAUUAGGGAAGAACAAAUGUGUAAGUAACUAUGCACGUCUUGACGGUACCUAAUCAGAAAGCCACGGCUAAUUACGUG
Molecule: ribosomal RNA, 495 nt
Filed under: uncultured bacterium
Lineage: Bacteria
Description: partial 16S ribosomal RNA
Rfam family: Bacterial small subunit ribosomal RNA
Source: RNAcentral